ACGCUCGACACCUACGGGAGGCAGCAGGUGGGGAAUAUUGCACAAGUGGGGGAACCCUGAUGCAGCGACGCCGCGUGAGUGAAGAAGUACUUCGGUAUAGUAAAGCUCUAUACAGCGAAGGGGAAAGAAAAUGACGGUACCUGACUAAGAACGCCCGGCUAACUACGUGUCAGCAGCCGACGGUAAUCGUGAGGCGGCGUGGACGAAGGC
Molecule: ribosomal RNA, 210 nt
Filed under: uncultured bacterium
Lineage: Bacteria
Description: partial 16S ribosomal RNA
Rfam family: Bacterial small subunit ribosomal RNA
Source: RNAcentral